Molecule: long non-coding RNA, 1505 nt
Organism: Labeo rohita (rohu)
Lineage: Eukaryota; Metazoa; Chordata; Actinopteri; Cypriniformes; Cyprinidae
Exons: 3
Source: RefSeq, a predicted model, not a curated record
CCAUUGCUUGAAGGCAGUGGUUUUCAUUCCUGGUUCUGGGGACCCACUGCUUUGCACAUUUCGUGUGUCUUCCUUAUUUAAAACACCUAAUUCAGAUCAUCAGCUUGUUAGGAGAGAGAUCCUUUUAAUGAACUGAGUGUGUCAGACAAGAGAGACAUACACAAUGUGCAGAACAGUGGGUCAGCAGGCCCAGGAUUGAAAACCACUGCUCUAGAGUUCUGCAGAGAAACUUACUUGCAUGUCUCAGACAGGUCCAGAGUGCAAACCUGGUUGCCUGUUAUCCUCACUUCCUAGAGAAGAUCUGGAAGAGUACAGGCAGACUUUCAAUUAGUUCCUCUACGCUGCCAUGGUAGAGACUGGCUGGCACCGAAAACUCCUCGAAGUUGCCGCUCAGCAGAGUGAGGCUGUCCGUGCCAUCAGAGACACCCACAAUCUCCACCACAAAUGCCUUGAGGUGUGUGAGCUCCACAUCGUCUCCGAUGUAGAGGUCACUCAGGGCCUCGUCGCGCCAAAGUGAAACUUCCAGGACAUUCUGGCCACAUCUAAGGUGCAGGUCCAAGAUGGGGACAUAGGCCUCCUGGACCUUUGUCAUUCUCGCUUCUUGUACCUGCAGAAUAAGAGGCCAACAGGUAAAUCAUACUCAUUCAGAAUGUUACAGUCACUGUUUCUUUUUACUAAUUUAAAAUUCUAUUACUCAUUCUGGUGGCUUCAGAUUCUUCAGCUCUUCACACAAAGACUUGAUAACUGUUGUUAAACCAGUUGCAUAAAUGAAAAUAACUGUAAUGGAACUGUUUGACUGGGAAGUGUUGGAUGGCAAACAGCAGAGCAGACUAAAUAAAACUGCUUAAUGUUGAGCUGUUUGUUAAGAGUUAAUAUGGGUGAGUAAUUAAGUGUUGUUGUUGUUGUUGUUGUGUGUUUUUUUUGUUUUAUUUUUUUCUUCCAUCUUAAUUUAAGCAACAGAGUAAUACAGAAUAACAGCAUUAAAAUAACUCACUUUUUCAACUUGGCCAUGGAUGGUCAAGUAGUCCCCCCUGGAAAAGAUGUCCUCCUCUUCUCCAGUGAUGGGAUGGGAUGGUGGACAAAGGAUGUCUUUUGCAGCCUUUUCAGCUGCAUCCGAUAAGGCAAGUGGUGCUGCCCUGAAUUUGGUCGAUGUCCGACCAAAAUAUAUAUUUUGGCGGCCAUACAUGGCACUAAAUGUUCCCUGACUACUUGUUGUGUAGACGUUUGUGCCAUCGGAUAGGGCAGUAACCGUUUUCAAGUGAAAUGAUUCUAUUUUUAUUUUGUCCCCUUUAUAAUGGUAAGAGACGGCUUUCUUAGUGGUCCUGUUUGCCACACACUUGCAGCGAAUAGGUGCUGGCCGUGUGUAUGGACUUGGAGUUGCCAUCCUGAGGGUAAGAGAAAAAUGCACAAAAUACUUAAGAAUAUACAAAGUAUGUAUAUUUAUACAGUACCAGUUACAAUUUUAAAUAUUUAUUGUGAAUUCAAGAUUUACCUCAGAAAAUGAG